RNAcentral lists this ribosomal RNA (490 nucleotides) under uncultured bacterium. Its description in RNAcentral is "partial 16S ribosomal RNA". It matches the Rfam family "Bacterial small subunit ribosomal RNA", at positions 30 to 507 of the family's 1533-position model. The record is from RNAcentral.
AUUGAACGCUGGCGGCAGGCCUAACACAUGCAAGUCGAACGGUAACAGGAAACAGCUUGCUGUUUCGCUGACGAGUGGCGGACGGGUGAGUAAUGUCUGGGAAACUGCCUGAUGGAGGGGGAUAACUACUGGAAACGGUAGCUAAUACCGCAUAACGUCGCAAGACCAAAGAGGGGGACCCUCGGGCCUCUUGCCAUCGGAUGUGCCCAGAUGGGAUUAGCUUGUUGGUGGGGUAACGGCUCACCAAGGCGACGAUCCCUAGCUGGUCUGAGAGGAUGACCAGCCACACUGGAACUGAGACACGGUCCAGACUCCUACGGGAGGCAGCAGUGGGGAAUAUUGCACAAUGGGCGCAAGCCUGAUGCAGCCAUGCCGCGUGUAUGAAGAAGGCCUUCGGAUUGUAAAGUACUUUCAGCGGGGAGGAAGGGAGUAAAGUUAAUACCUUUGCUCAUUGACGUUACCCGCAGAAGAAGCACCGGCUAACUCCGUG